This 445-nucleotide ribosomal RNA is filed under the name uncultured bacterium. RNAcentral describes it as "bacterial SSU rRNA". It matches the Rfam family "Bacterial small subunit ribosomal RNA", at positions 332 to 793 of the family's 1533-position model. The record is from RNAcentral.
UAGACUCCUACGGGAGGCAGCAGUGGGGAAUAUCACAUGGGCGGGAANCCUAUGCAGCAACGCCGCGUGCGGGAUGANGGCCUUCGGGUUGUAAACCGCUUCGCCUGUGACGAAGCGUGAGUGACGGUAAUGGGUAAAGAAGCACCGGCUAACUACGUGCCAGCAGCCGCGGUGAUACGUAGGGUGCGAGCGUUGUCCGGAUUUAUUGGGCGUAAAGGGCUCGUAGGUGGUUGAUCGCGUCGGAAGUGUAAUCUUGGGGCUUAACCCUGAGCGUGCUUUCGAUACGGGUUGACUUGAGGAAGGUAGGGGAGAAUGGAAUUCCUGGUGGAGCGGUGGAAUGCGCAGAUAUCAGGAGGAACACCAGUGGCGAAGGCGGUUCUCUGGGCCUUUCCUGACGCUGAGGAGCGAAAGCGUGGGGAGCGAACAGGAUUAGAUACCCUGGUAG